ACGUAGGUGGCAAGCGUUAUCCGGAUUUACUGGGCGUAAAGCGUGUGUAGGCGGGGGUACAAGUGGUGUAUGAAAUUUCCCAGCUUAACUGGGAAGGGUUAUGCCAGACUGUACUUCUGGAGUGCGAGAGAGGGGCGUGGAAUUCCGGGUGUAGUGGUGAAAUGCGUAGAGAUCCGGAGGAACCCCAGAGGCGAAGGCGGCGCCCUGGCUCGCAACUGACGCUCAGACACGACAGCAUGGGGAGCGAACGGG
This 252-nucleotide ribosomal RNA is filed under the name uncultured bacterium. RNAcentral describes it as "partial 16S ribosomal RNA". It matches the Rfam family "Bacterial small subunit ribosomal RNA", at positions 525 to 776 of the family's 1533-position model. The record is from RNAcentral.